CCUACGGGAGGCAGCAGUGGGGAAUUUUGGACAAUGGGGGAAACCCUGAUCCAGCCAUUCCGCGUGAGUGAAGAAGGCCUUCGGGUUGUAAAGCUCUUUCGGCAGGAACGAAACGGCGGACUCUAACAUAGUCUGUCAAUGACGGUACCUGAAGAAGAAGCACCGGCUAACUACGUGCCAGCAGCCGCGGUAAUACGUAGGGUGCGAGCGUUAAUCGGAAUUACUGGGCGUAAAGCGCCCGUAGGCGGGGGUGAAAGGCGGGGGGAAAAUCCCCGGACCCAAUCGGGGCCCCGCGCCCGAGACUCCGCUCCUGGAGGGAAGCAGAGGAAGGCGGAAUUCCCGGUGUAGCGGUAAAAUGCGUAGAUACCGGGAGGAACACCGUGGGCGAAGGCGGCCUUCUGGGCUUCUCCUGA
This 413-nucleotide ribosomal RNA is filed under the name uncultured bacterium. Its description in RNAcentral is "partial 16S ribosomal RNA". It matches the Rfam family "Bacterial small subunit ribosomal RNA", at positions 338 to 743 of the family's 1533-position model. The record is from RNAcentral.